Long non-coding RNA from Mytilus trossulus (common blue mussel), 305 nucleotides. RefSeq lists it as uncharacterized. The transcript has 2 exons. The record is from RefSeq and is a predicted model, not a curated record. NCBI's taxonomy places the organism in Eukaryota, Metazoa, Mollusca, Bivalvia, Mytilida, Mytilidae.
CUUGUAUUCAGACAGGUACACCUCAAGUAAAAGAAGUGUCUGGAGAAGACAAAGAAAAGCCUACUGUGGAUGAUGGUGAUGAUAGUGAUGGAAGUGACGGGAGUGAUGUUAGUUUCGGGUUGUUAUUUGACUAACCAUUAUGAAAACGUUUUGGUUUUUAAAAAAAAACAUGCAUGUAAAUCCUCUUCACAAUGACUCAAAAUUUGUCAAAUUUUACACCAUUUUAAGUAUUCAUACGCAAAUGUGAGUUUUAUAUUAAAACUAUGUACAUAGACUAAAUGCUAGAUUAAAGUAUACGACUUUCA